This 478-nucleotide ribosomal RNA is filed under the name uncultured organism. RNAcentral's name for it is "partial 16S ribosomal RNA". It matches the Rfam family "Bacterial small subunit ribosomal RNA", at positions 330 to 800 of the family's 1533-position model. The record is from RNAcentral.
CGUACACUCCUACGGGAGGCAGCAGUGGGGAAUAUUACACAAUGGGCGCAAGCCUGAUGCAGCCAUGCCGCGUGUAUGAAGAAGGCCUUCGGGUUGUAAAGUACUUUCAGCGGGGAGGAAGGCGAUAAGGUUAAUAACCUUGUCGAUUGACGUUACCCGCAGAAGAAGCACCGGCUAACUCCGUGCCAGCAGCCGCGGUAAUACGGAGGGUGCAAGCGUUAAUCGGAAUUACUGGGCGUAAAGCGCACGCAGGCGGUCUGUCAAGUCGGAUGUGAAAUCCCCGGGCUCAACCUGGGAACUGCAUUCGAAACUGGCAGGCUAGAGUCUUGUAGAGGGGGGUAGAAUUCCAGGUGUAGCGGUGAAAUGCGUAGAGAUCUGGAGGAAUACCGGUGGCGAAGGCGGCCCCCUGGACAAAGACUGACGCUCAGGUGCGAAAGCGUGGGGAGCAAACAGGAUUAGAUACCCCAGUAGUCCCAGA